RNAcentral lists this ribosomal RNA (455 nucleotides) under uncultured bacterium. RNAcentral describes it as "bacterial SSU rRNA". It matches the Rfam family "Bacterial small subunit ribosomal RNA", at positions 340 to 786 of the family's 1533-position model. The record is from RNAcentral.
UACGGAAGGCAGCAGGGGGGAAUAUUGCACAAUGGGCGCAAGCCUGAUGCAGCCAUGCCGCGUGUAUGAAAAAGGCCUUCGGGUUUGUAAAGUACUUUCAGUCGUGAGGAAGGUGUUAAGGUUAAUAACCUUAGCAAUUGACGUUAGCGACAGAAGAAGCACCGGCUAACUCCGUGCCAGCAGCCGCGGUAAUACGGAGGGUGCGAGCGUUAAUCGGAAUUACUGGGCGUAAAGGGCACGCAGGCGGUUAAUUAAGUUGGAUGUGAAAUCCCCGGGCUUAACCUGGGAAUGGCAUUCAAGACUGGUUAGCUAGAGUCUUGUAGAGGGGGUAGAAUUCCAUGUGUAGCGGUGAAAUGCGUAGAGAUGUGGAGGAAUACCGGUGGCGAAGGGCGGCCCCUGGACAAAGACUGACGCUCAUGUGCGAAAGCGUGGGGAGCAAACAGGGAUUAGAUACC